CGAGAGAGAGACAGAGAGAUGGUGAUGGAAGGAGAGCGAGGGGGAGGGGUCUCGGCACUGUUGCUGCAGAUGGGAGGGUCGGUAUGGUCAGAGAAGACCAUACGGGUCGUCGGGAUUUCAGGGAGACGGGGUAGGGGUCAUCAACAAACCCUACUGAGGGUGGGGUGUGCCGGAUCUUGCGCUGCAUGCCUCAAAUCCAAAGAUAAGUUCCGUUUUUAAAUUGUUUUCUUGAAUGGUGCCUUAGAUUUUCUAAUUGUUUAGUAUGUUACGUCCAGUUUUGGGGGAUUUGUGAUUUUAAGGCAAGCACUGCUGCUAUGUAUUGUUAAGUUGCUAAUUUAUAGAUUAACCUGCUGUGAUUCUGUGCUUGAAGUCAGGCAUAUGUUUAGACUUCCAAAUUGAUGCCUUAGUAGCUUCAGUGCUUGCCUUAAAAUUACUAUAGGCAUAACUGUUACAGUUCAAAUGUAUGAAGGUUUUUUCCAAGGUAUUUGUGAUAGACCGCUGCACUUUAAAUCUUCUCCCAGGUCCCCAAUUACAACAAAAAUCACAAUUGCAUACAUAUUAAGAACACAAUGAAACUGAAAAAAUUAUAUGGUUCUAAAGUGGUGUAAACCGUUAAUGGAGAAAAUACGGGUGCAUGUAUUGGUGCAUCAGAUGUACGGAUUAGGAUUAGGAUUAGGACCGGUUCUCUGUGUUUAAAGUCUGGAAAAAUACUGUGAAAAAGAUGCAACUUUUUUAUGGGAUUGACAAUUUUCGGCUUAGUUUUGGCUAAGAAAUAAUUAGAGUGUUACUUAAUAAGUUGAGUUAACAAAUUUGCAGGAUGCAACUGAACGCAUGGGAGAAGUUUUGAAACAAGUUAAGAAGAUCCAGCUGAAAAGAGCAUACAAGAUAGGGAAUUGGGUUUAGGUGCCCUUGAAGAUGCCCACCCUGAUUUUUUUUACACCAAGUGGUGAUGGCAACCCAUGCAUUCCAACUUGCCCAGGCUGAACCAGACACUGAUGAAGUCUUUGCACAAGUCACUUUACUUCCCGAAUCAAAUGAAGAUGAGAAUGCAGUGGAGAGGGAAAUAACAUAGGGCGCGCGUCCUUAAACAGGAAAAGACUUUGGUUAGGCAUAGCCAAAUUAAGGAAGAGAAUAGUUUUCAGAAUGGCUAUGUCACAAUCUGCUAUUCUUCCUGUCAAAAUGGGGAAAGCAUGGCUGUCACUCUUCCAACAGGAUUUCUCUGGUUAGAACUUCAGUCUACAAGCUUUGUGGCUGAUCAGAAGCUACCAUAUUUGGAUUUUGCUGGAAGAAGGUUUCGAAUCAGACGAUUGGAAGACAAAAAGGUUAUAAUUGUUAUGACUGAAUUGAGCACGGUAUGUUUAAUUAUGCAGAUGACCAUCUGUUUUACUUUGAUUAAUUUCAUUGGUCAGUGCAUAUCAUAGAUAAUGUAUUUAAUAAAUGAUGUAGAAACAGUGUCCGGCUUCAAUACUACAAGUGUAUUAUCCGCUAGAUUCGACUUUCACAAUUAUUAAAUCUUUUAGUGUAAAUCUGAACCGUUUAUUUCCCAUAUCAUUCAAUAUUAUUGAAGUAUUUUCUGUAGAAACCUGCUGGAAAAAAAUUGAUGUAGAAACCUGUGAAAAGCUUAAUGCAGGCAUCUCAACUCAAUUACUACAAACCCUAUUCAACGUGAAAGGUGUUACACACAAUGGAAUUGCAGGAAAUGCAGAUCCCCAAUUCGAAAUUGGAGAUGUCACUAUCCCUCAAUUUUGGGCUCAUACAGGCCUUUGGAAUUGGCAGAGCAAUAGAUGCCAAGCCAAAAGUGAGAAUGGGAACGAAGAAUCCAUGCCAAAAUCUCGCAUUUGUUCAGAGUGGUCUUGAUGGAACAUGGAAUCCAUAUCACCAAGUUUACUAAUUCAAGAUGCCAUCAGAUAGGCAAAAUCGUAUUGUCUAUAAAGUGCAAUGAAUGCUACAGGUUACUAAGUUUCGCCAUAUGCCUUCAUUGUGGCAUUGCCCUCUCUGCG
Molecule: RNA transcript, 2000 nt
Organism: Pyrus x bretschneideri (Chinese white pear)
Lineage: Eukaryota; Viridiplantae; Streptophyta; Magnoliopsida; Rosales; Rosaceae
Exons: 9
Source: RefSeq, a predicted model, not a curated record